This 235-nucleotide ribosomal RNA is filed under the name uncultured bacterium. Its description in RNAcentral is "partial 16S ribosomal RNA". It matches the Rfam family "Bacterial small subunit ribosomal RNA", at positions 76 to 334 of the family's 1533-position model. The record is from RNAcentral.
CCCUUCGGGGUUAGUGGCGCACGGGUGCGUAACGCGUGGGAAUCUGCCCUUGGGUUCGGAAUAACUCGCCGAAAGGCGUGCUAAUACCGGAUGAUGUCGAAAGACCAAAGAUUUAUCGCCCAAGGAUGAGCCCGCGUAAGAUUAGGUAGUUGGUGAGGUAAAGGCUCACCAAGCCGACGAUCUUUAGCUGGUCUGAGAGGAUGAUCAGCCACACUGGGACUGAGACACGGCCCAG